GCCAGCAGCCAUAUAACCCUGCAACUCACAACUGGCAACACAUUAAAGGUAAGCAGGUGUGAGCUGGGUCAAUACCUGGAUGGGAGACCUCCUGGGAAAAACUAAGGUUGCUGCUGGAA
RNAcentral lists this ribosomal RNA (119 nucleotides) under Lepisosteus oculatus (spotted gar). Lineage: Eukaryota; Metazoa; Chordata; Actinopteri; Semionotiformes; Lepisosteidae. The record is from RNAcentral.